This 253-nucleotide ribosomal RNA is filed under the name uncultured bacterium. Its description in RNAcentral is "partial 16S ribosomal RNA". It matches the Rfam family "Bacterial small subunit ribosomal RNA", at positions 524 to 776 of the family's 1533-position model. The record is from RNAcentral.
UACGAAGGGGGCUAGCGUUGUUCGGAAUUACUGGGCGUAAAGCGCGCGUAGGCGGUGAUCUUUGUCAGAGGUGAAAGCCUGGGGCUCAACUCCAGAAUUGCCUUUGAAACGGGAUUGCUUGAGUCCGAGAGAGGAUGGCGGAAUUCCUAGUGUAGAGGUGAAAUUCGUAGAUAUUGGGAAGAACACCGGUGGCGAAGGCGGCGCUCUGGACCGAGACUGACGCUGAGGCGCGAAAGCGUGGGGAGCAAACAGG